GGGGAAUAUUGGACAAUGGGCGAAAGCCUGAUCCAGCCAUGCCGCGUGAGUGAUGAAGGCCUUAGGGUUGUAAAGCUCUUUCGCUAGGGAAGAUAAUGACGGUACCUAGAGAAGAAGCCCCGGCUAACUUCGUGCCAGCAGCCGCGGUAAUACGGGGGGGGCUAGCGUUGUUCGGAAUCACUGGGCGUAAAGCGCGCGUAGGCGGCUUAUCAAGUCAGGGGUGAAAUCCCAGAGCUUAACUCUGGAACUGCCUUUGAAACUGACAAGCUGGAAUGUGAGAGAGGAUAGCGGAAUUCCAAAUGUAGAGGUGAAAUUCGUAGAUAUUUGGAGGAACACCAGUGGCGAAGGCGGCUAUCUGGCUCACUAUUGACGCUCUGGCGCGAAAGCGUGGGGAUCAAAC
This 400-nucleotide ribosomal RNA is filed under the name uncultured bacterium. Its description in RNAcentral is "bacterial SSU rRNA". It matches the Rfam family "Bacterial small subunit ribosomal RNA", at positions 356 to 773 of the family's 1533-position model. The record is from RNAcentral.